This 755-nucleotide ribosomal RNA is filed under the name uncultured Halomonas sp. Its description in RNAcentral is "bacterial SSU rRNA". It matches the Rfam family "Bacterial small subunit ribosomal RNA", at positions 28 to 774 of the family's 1533-position model. Lineage: Bacteria; Pseudomonadati; Pseudomonadota; Gammaproteobacteria; Oceanospirillales; Halomonadaceae. The record is from RNAcentral.
AUUGAACGCUGGCGGCAGGCCUAACACAUGCAAGUCGAGCGGAAACGAUGGAAGCUUGCUUCCAGGCGUCGAGCGGCGGACGGGUGAGUAAUGCAUGGGAAUCUGCCUGAUAGUGGGGGAUAACCUGGGGAAACCCAGGCUAAUACCGCAUACGUCCUACGGGAGAAAGCAGGGGAUCUUCGGACCUUGCGCUAUCGGAUGAGCCCAUGUCGGAUUAGCUUGUUGGUGAGGUAAUGGCUCACCAAGGCGACGAUCCGUAGCUGGUCUGAGAGGGUGAUCAGCCACAUCGGGACUGAGACACGGCCCGAACUCCUACGGGAGGCAGCAGUGGGGAAUAUUGGACAAUGGGCGAAAGCCUGAUCCAGCCAUGCCGCGUGUGUGAAGAAGGCCCUCGGGUUGUAAAGCACUUUCAGUGGGGAAGAAAGCCUUGGGAUUAAUACUCCCGAGGAAGGACAUCACCCACAGAAGAAGCACCGGCUAACUCCGUGCCAGCAGCCGCGGUAAUACGGAGGGUGCGAGCGUUAAUCGGAAUUACUGGGCGUAAAGCGCGCGUAGGCGGUCUGAUAAGCCGGUUGUGAAAGCCCCGGGCUCAACCUGGGAACGGCAUCCGGAACUGUCAGGCUAGAGUGCAGGAGAGGAAGGUAGAAUUCCCGGUGUAGCGGUGAAAUGCGUAGAGAUCGGGAGGAAUACCAGUGGCGAAGGCGGCCUUCUGGACUGACACUGACGCUGAGGUGCGAAAGCGUGGGUAGCAAACA